Molecule: long non-coding RNA, 207 nt
Organism: Orcinus orca (killer whale)
Lineage: Eukaryota; Metazoa; Chordata; Mammalia; Artiodactyla; Delphinidae
Exons: 3
Source: RefSeq, a predicted model, not a curated record
AAUCAUCAUACCUGAAUCCACUCAUUAUGCUGCUAUGGGCCUGAUGACAUAGAUUUCAUUGCUGAGUGAUACUGCAUUGUACUUAGAAUCAUCAUACCUGAAUCCACUCAUUGUGCUGCUACGGGCCUGGUGACAUAGAUUUCAUUGCUGAGUGAUAUUGCAUUUUAGAAUCAUCAUACCUGAAUCCACUCAUUAUGCUGCUACAGG